RNAcentral lists this ribosomal RNA (393 nucleotides) under uncultured Gammaproteobacteria bacterium. RNAcentral describes it as "bacterial SSU rRNA". It matches the Rfam family "Bacterial small subunit ribosomal RNA", at positions 370 to 779 of the family's 1533-position model. Lineage: Bacteria; Pseudomonadati; Pseudomonadota; Gammaproteobacteria. The record is from RNAcentral.
AAUGGCCGAAAGGCUGACGGAGCAACGCCGCGUGAUGGAUGAAGGCCUUCGGGUUGUAAACAUCUUUUUUCAGGGAAGAAUUCUGACGGUACCUGACGAAUAAGAGGUUGCUAACUCUGUGCCAGCAGCAGCGGUAAUACAGAGACCUCAAGCGUUACCCGGAUUUAUUGGGCGUAAAGCGUCCGCAGGUGGUUUCGUGCGUCUUGUGUUAAAUGUAGGGGCUUAACCUCGGCACUGCGCAAGAUACGGCGAAACUUGAGACUGGGAGAGGUAAGCGGAACUACCGGUGUAGUAGUAAAAUGCGUUAAUAUCGGUAUGAACACCAAAAGCGAAAGCAGCUUACUGGAACAGUUCUGACACUCAUGGACGAAAGCGUAGGGAGCGAAAGGGAUU